RNAcentral lists this small RNA (28 nucleotides) under Bombyx mori (domestic silkworm). RNAcentral's name for it is "ovarian small RNA-34943". Lineage: Eukaryota; Metazoa; Arthropoda; Insecta; Lepidoptera; Bombycidae. The record is from RNAcentral.
UGGCUGUGUGGCCCUGCUGGCAGAGCAC